Long non-coding RNA from Piliocolobus tephrosceles (Ugandan red Colobus), 1052 nucleotides. RefSeq lists it as uncharacterized. The record is from RefSeq and is a predicted model, not a curated record. NCBI's taxonomy places the organism in Eukaryota, Metazoa, Chordata, Mammalia, Primates, Cercopithecidae. The transcript is spliced from 3 exons.
CUCCCCGCCACACAGACACCCGAACUGUAGCCCGCAUCUCCACACGCUCUCAGCCGCGCGCGCCCUCUAGCUCGCCCGCGCGCGCCGGCGCCCCCCUCCCCGCCACGUGACCGGCGUCCCAGUCCGACCCGCGCGCUGCGCCCCUGCAGAGCGACGCGGAGCUAUCGCACCCUGCCAGACUCGCCCCUUGGUCCCUGUCUGACGAGCUCUAGGCAACCUGCCCUCGUUCGGAACACAAAUGUCGGUCUUACCCCUCAGUUUCUGCCAGAGAAAAAGGAAAAGUCACCUAGAGGCCUGACUCUGACGGGUGGGGGGAGACGAGCGCGCGGAGUAGCGGGAAGCGACUGAGGAGUGGGGACUGGGCAGCGUUUGAAUGGAUGCGGGUGCCGCUGGCACCCAGGAAGACGCCGGGGGCCGGCGCUGUGGAGCCGGGCACGGGCUGGGAUGUGUGUGGAUUCCAAUCCGGGCCUGACACCAGUUCAGUGACCUCGGAAAGUUCCCCAACCCUCUGGGCCUGUUUCCUCCCUCUGAAGUGGCGACAGUAACAGAACCGACCUCGUAGGCUCAUCGGGAGGCCCUGAAGGGAGAACCCAUGCAACUUGCCACCACAGAGCCAGGCCCGCGGCGGUUGGCGCCUGGUGGGUAUUAAAGACGAGUCGGGAAAGAAGAGCAGGUUGAUAGACUGGAUGCAGCUAUGGUAAUCUGCCUCAGGAAAAUGCCGGACUGUUGUUUGCAAGCUUGUUAAGUGAGCAAAAUUUGGGAAGAUUUCAAGAGUGAAACAACCAUUAUGAAAGCAUGUGCCAUGAAAGCUGCCAUUGAAACCAGAGCUUCACCACAGAGAACUACCCCCUGCUUAUCUGAAUUUGGAGUAGUUAUCAGUCUCUAGUCAGCUAAGUUGGGGACAAAGAUGAUGGGACAUGGUUUUGUUAGCAGCUUAAAUUUUUUUUUUUUUUUUGAGAUGGAGUUUCACUGUUUCACCCAAGCUGGAGUGAAGUGGUGCGAUCUCAGCUCACUGCAACCUCCGCCCCCUGGGUUCAAGCAAUUCUCCUGCA